AACGAACGCUGGCGGCGUGGAUAAGACAUGCAAGUCGAACGCUGAUUAGGGGGUAGCAAUAUUCCCUAGUCGGAGUGGCGCAAGGGUGCGUAACACGUGGGUAAUCUGCCGUGAAGCCUGGGAUAACUCGCUGAAAGGCGAGCUAAUACCGGAUGUGACUACCAGGAGGCAUCUUUAGGUAGUUAAAGCUGGGGACCUGCAAAGGCCUGGCACUUCAUGAUGAGCCCGCGGCCUAUCAGCUAGUUGGUGAGGUAACGGCUCACCAAGGCUAAGACGGGUAGCUGGUCUGAGAGGACGACCAGCCACACUGGAACUGAGACACGGUCCAGACACCUACGGGUGGCAGCAGUCGAGAAUUUUUCACAAUGGGCGCAAGCUUGAUGGAGCGACGCCGCGUGGGGGAUGAAGGGUUUCGAUCCGUAAACCCCUAUCAUUUGCGAACAAACCUUGUCCGAUAACACCGGAUAAGCUGAUUGUAGCGGAAGAGGAAGGGACGGAC
Molecule: ribosomal RNA, 499 nt
Filed under: uncultured bacterium
Lineage: Bacteria
Description: bacterial SSU rRNA
Rfam family: Bacterial small subunit ribosomal RNA
Source: RNAcentral